Molecule: transfer RNA, 72 nt
Filed under: Camelus bactrianus (Bactrian camel)
Lineage: Eukaryota; Metazoa; Chordata; Mammalia; Artiodactyla; Camelidae
Also listed under: 2 other names
Rfam family: tRNA
About the family: Transfer RNA (tRNA) molecules are approximately 80 nucleotides in length. Their secondary structure includes four short double-helical elements and three loops (D, anti-codon, and T loops).
Source: Rfam by way of RNAcentral
AGAGGUGUAGCUCAGUGGUAGAGCUCAUGCUUAGCAUGCACAAAGUCCUAGGUUCAAUCCUCAGUACCUCCA